RNAcentral lists this ribosomal RNA (492 nucleotides) under uncultured bacterium. RNAcentral's name for it is "partial 16S ribosomal RNA". It matches the Rfam family "Bacterial small subunit ribosomal RNA", at positions 29 to 507 of the family's 1533-position model. The record is from RNAcentral.
AGUGAACGCUGGCGAUAGGCCUAACACAUGCAAGUCGAACGGCAGCACAGUAAGAGCUUGCUCUUACGGGUGGCGAGUGGCGGACGGGUGAGGAAUACAUCGGAAUCUACUUUUUCGUGGGGGAUAACGUAGGGAAACUUACGCUAAUACCGCAUACGACCUACGGGUGAAAGCAGGGGAUCUUCGGACCUUGCGCGAUUGAAUGAGCCGAUGUCGGAUUAGCUAGUUGGCGGGGUAAAGGCCCACCAAGGCGACGAUCCGUAGCUGGUCUGAGAGGAUGAUCAGCCACACUGGAACUGAGACACGGUCCAGACUCCUACGGGAGGCAGCAGUGGGGAAUAUUGGACAAUGGGCGCAAGCCUGAUCCAGCCAUACCGCGUGGGUGAAGAAGGCCUUCGGGUUGUAAAGCCCUCUUGUUGGGAAAGAAAAGCAGCAGGUUAAUACCCCGCUGUUCUGACGGUACCCAAAGAAUAAGCACCGGCUAACUUCGUG